GAACUUGUGACGCAAACAGAAAUAAUCCGUGGUAUCGAAACAAUUUCGAUGGGUAUUGAACGAAUUGUGACCAAGAACUACCGAAUGAUUAGUGAAAUUCAACCUGAAAUAAACACAAUUCUUCUGACGGUAGAAAAGAUGUACCAACUUAUCCAAGACACGGCGAAUAUUCAAGGGAAAAUCGUAUUAGAUAUAAAUGGAAUACCAAACAAAGCAGAGUUGUUACACGAGAUUGUACAACUUUGGAAAAGCUUCAAAACCAAUCCAGGACUAAACGCUUCUAAUGAAAUAGGACAUUGUCUGUCUGUUACUG
Dreissena polymorpha is the source of this 313-nucleotide long non-coding RNA. RefSeq lists it as uncharacterized. Lineage: Eukaryota; Metazoa; Mollusca; Bivalvia; Myida; Dreissenidae. The record is from RefSeq and is a predicted model, not a curated record. The transcript is spliced from 3 exons.